UUGGCCUCAGUGUCCAAGAAGAAGGAA
Molecule: unclassified non-coding RNA, 27 nt
Filed under: Mus musculus (house mouse)
Lineage: Eukaryota; Metazoa; Chordata; Mammalia; Rodentia; Muridae
Description: oocyte_clustered_small_RNA13409
Source: RNAcentral